UGAGGAAUAUUGGGCAAUGCCCGCAAGGGUGACCCAGCAACGCCGCGUGGAGGAUGAAUGUCGUAAGAUUGUAAACUCCUGUUAGAGGGGAAGAAUAGUACCGGUUGGACCGGUAUAUGACUGUACCCUCAGAGAAAGCCCCGGCUAACUACGUGCCAGCAGCCGCGGUAAUACGUAGGGGGCAAGCGUUGUCCGGAUUUACUGGGUGUAAAGGGCGCGCAGGCGGGAUAAAAAGUCAGUGGUGAAAUCCUACAGCUUAACUGUAGAACUGCCUUUGAUACUUUUAUUCUUGAGUUCGGGAGAGAGAGACGGAAUUCCAGGUGUAGUGGUGAAAUACGUAGAUAUCUGGAAGAACACCAGUUGCGAAGGCGGUCUCUUGGUCCGACACUGAUGCUGAGGCGCGAAAGCGUGGGGAGCAAACA
Molecule: ribosomal RNA, 422 nt
Filed under: uncultured bacterium
Lineage: Bacteria
Description: bacterial SSU rRNA
Rfam family: Bacterial small subunit ribosomal RNA
Source: RNAcentral